GAAUUUCCGUUUCCGGCGGUGUCCAAGCGGACCUAAGGAGUCGCAGUUGUGAACAGGUUAGAGUUACUUGUUAUUGGUAAAUAGCCACUAUGGAGACUAAGGACCAGAAGAAACACAGAAAGAAAAACAGUGGACCCAAAGCUGCAAAGAAAAAGAAGUGGCAUCUGCAGGAUCUCCAGCUAGGAGACGAAGAAAAUGCCCAGAAGAGAAAUGCCAAUGCUUUUGCAGUUCAGUCUGCUGUGUGGAUGUCUCGAUCCUUUCACAGGACUCUGGAUUUGAAGACACAAAAGCAUCAUAUUCCAGUGGUUGAUGGAACUCCACUAGAGCCGCCACCAAUAGCGGUAGUGGUGACGGGGCCUCCAAAGUUGGAAAGAGCACUUUGAUAUAAUGCCUCAUUCGGAACUUCACCUGGCAGAAGUUCACCGAGAUCAGAGGCCCUGUGACGAUCGUGUCAGGUAAAAAGCGCAGACUCACCAUUAUUGAAUGUGGGUGUGACAUUAACAUGAUGAUUGAUCUGGCUAAAGUAGCAGAUCUGGUACUGAUGCUUAUAGAUGCCAGCUUUGGGUUUGAAAUGGAAAUGUUUGAGUUUCUAAACAUCUGUCAAGCACAUGGCUUUCCUAAAAUUCUGGGAGUUCUCACCCACCUCGACUCCUUCAAGCAUAACAAGCAACUGAAGAAGACAAAGAAGUGAUUAAAACACAGGUUCUGGACAGAAGUUUACCAGGUUGCCAAACUGUUCUACCUUUCUGGAAUGGUGCAUGGAGAAUAUCAAAACCAAGAAAUCCACAAUCUGGGCCAUUUUAUUACAGUUAUGAAGUUUAGGCCUCUCAUGGCAAACUUUUCACCCUUAUAUCCUGGCAGACAGUUAAAAGGAUGGAAGAUUUGACAAACCCGGAGGAUAUCCAAACAAACAUCAAAUGUGACCUGCAGGUGUCACUUUAUGGUUAUUUAAGAGGAGCACACUUGAAAAAUAAAAGCCAAAUUCACAUGCCAGGACAAGGUGGGGCUCACCCAUGAGCUGGUCCAGAGUCUCAUCUCCACCUACUCCACCAUUGAUGCCAAGAUGGCUUCAAGUCGAGUGAUGCUGCUUUCCAAUUCCAAACCACUUGGGUCAGAGGCUAUAGAUAAUCAAGGGUAAGUCUGCUUUUUUUCUAUUUUUAAUAAAAAGAUAUAUUACAGAA
Long non-coding RNA from Homo sapiens (human), 1181 nucleotides. Ensembl annotates it as BMS1 pseudogene 1. Its record names the gene BMS1P1. Lineage: Eukaryota; Metazoa; Chordata; Mammalia; Primates; Hominidae. The record is from Ensembl.